RNAcentral lists this ribosomal RNA (468 nucleotides) under uncultured bacterium. RNAcentral's name for it is "partial 16S ribosomal RNA". It matches the Rfam family "Bacterial small subunit ribosomal RNA", at positions 28 to 507 of the family's 1533-position model. The record is from RNAcentral.
GACGAACGCUGGCGGCGUGCUUAACACAUGCAAGUCGAACGGAAAGGCCCUGCUUUUGUGGGGUGCUCGAGUGGCGAAGGGAUGAGUAACACGUGAGUAACCUGCCCUUGACGUUGGGAUAACUUCAGGAAACUGGGGCUAAUACCGGAUAGGAGCACCUGCUGAAUGGUGGGGGUUGGAUGGUUUCGGCGGUUGGGGAUGGAAUCGCGGCUUAGCAGCUUGUUGGUGGGGGAGUGGCUUACCAGGGCUUUGACGGGUAGCCGGCCUGAGAGGGUGACCGGCCACAUUGGGACAGAGAUACGGCCCAGACUCUUACGGGAGGCAGCAGUGUGGAAUAUUGUACAAUGGGCGGAAGCCUGAUGCAGCAACGUCGCGUGCGGGAUAACGGCCUUCGGGUGUUAAACCGCUUUCGCCUGUGACGAAGCGUGAGUGACGGUAAUGGGUAAAGAAGCACCGGCUAACUACGUG